GAUCAUGGCUCAGGAUGAACGCUGGCGGCGUGCCUAAUACAUGCAAGUAGAACGCUGAAGGAAGGAGCUUGCUCUUUCCGGAUGAGUUGCGAACGGGUGAGUAACGCGUAGGUAACCUGCCUGGUAGCGGGGGGAUAACUAUUGGAAACGAUAGCUAAUACCGCAUAACAGUAGAUAUUGCAUGAUAUUUGCUUGAAAGGGGCAAUUGCUCCACUACCAGAUGGACCUGCGUUG
RNAcentral lists this ribosomal RNA (234 nucleotides) under uncultured bacterium. RNAcentral describes it as "partial 16S ribosomal RNA". It matches the Rfam family "Bacterial small subunit ribosomal RNA", at positions 15 to 238 of the family's 1533-position model. The record is from RNAcentral.